UGGCGGAAUGCUUUACACAUGCAAGUCGGGCGGCAGCGCGGGGGCAACCCUGGCGGCGAGCGGCGAACGGGUGAGUAACACAUCGGAACGUACCCUGUCGUGGGGGAUAACGAAUCGAAAGAUUCGCUAAUACCGCAUACGACCUGAGGGUGAAAGCGGGGGAUCGCAAGACCUCGCGCGAGAGGAGCGGCCGAUGGCGGAUUAGCUAGUUGGUGGGGUAAAGGCCCACCAAGGCGACGAUCCGUAGCGGGUCUGAGAGGACGGCCCGCCACACUGGGACUGAGACACGGCCCAGACUCCUACGGGAGGCAGCAGUGGGGAAUUUUGGACAAUGGGGGCAACCCUGAUCCAGCCAUUCCGCGUGAGUGAAGAAGGCCUUCGGGUUGUAAAGCUC
This 394-nucleotide ribosomal RNA is filed under the name uncultured bacterium. Its description in RNAcentral is "bacterial SSU rRNA". It matches the Rfam family "Bacterial small subunit ribosomal RNA", at positions 37 to 433 of the family's 1533-position model. The record is from RNAcentral.